CCCAUGGAGAAUGCUGGCUAGUCUGAGCCCCAAGCACCCAUUUUAGAUCCAAAGGAAAGGAGGGUAGGAGCCUGGCUUUAAUUGCAAGUGAAGCCCGGGGAGUGCUCUUGAGCGGAGAUGUGCAAGCAGAGGAGAGCCUGGCAGUAUGUGUGUGGCUGUUCCUUGCUGUUCCACAUGCAUAGAGCAUUCCAGCCACCGUACCAGCACAGCAUUCUGGGGGAUAAAGCCUGGGAACCCAGCGAGAGUCAGUGUGAGUGCAAGGGCUCAGAGGACAUCCUGCCUCUCCCAAUCUCUACCGAAGGAGUCCCAGAAAGAAAGAGGUGCCUGGCAAGGGAAUUCUAUGUACCCCCUGACUUCCAAAGGGCUGGGACGGGAAGCCAGCUACCAUGUUGUAGGGACAUUCAACCUACGGAAAGGCCCACGUGGAGUGGAACUAAAACCACCUGUCAACCACCAGCACUGACUCGGCAGCCAUCUGAGUGAGCCACCGUGAAACCACAUCUUCCAGCCCCAGUCAAGGCUUCAGGUCCUGCAGCCCCAACAUCUUGACCUCCUCAAAGACCCCAAGCCAGAGCCCUUGUCUGGUAUUUUCACCGAAAGUUGCCCAGCAACCAAUGAGUUAUCUGGCAAAAAUGCUUGUGGCUUACAGUGAAACCACCUAGAACUGUCAGAACAACCGAGCUAAGCCAUUCCUAGAUUCCUGACCUACAGAAACUGUGAGAGAUAAUAACUGUUUAUUGUUUUCAGGCAUCACAUUUUGGGAUACUUUUUAAACAGCAACAGGUAACUAAUACAGGUGUGCAGACCUCUAACUGGCUCACGUAUCAGGAUUUGGUGAGAUUCUCCUUGACAUUUCUACUCUUGGAAAGUCCUUCAUCUUUUUUUUUUUUUAACGUUUAUUUAUUUUUGAGAGAGCGAGCGACAGAGACAGAGACAGAGGAUGAGUAAGGGAAGGGCAGAGAGAGAAAGGGAGAUGCAGAACUUGAAGUAGGCUCCAGGCUCCACACUGUCAGCACAGAGCCCGAUGCAGGGCUCAAACUCACAAACCGUGAGAUCAUGACCUAAGCCAAAGUCGGACGCUCAACCAAUUGGGCCACCCAGGUACCCUGGAAAGUCCUUCAUCUUGAGAAAGGUAAAGAGAAGCCACAGUGCCUCUCUGUCUGCUGUGGAGCCAGGAAUAGAGACUAGACAAUGAUGCUGCCCCUCUAGCCCUUAGGUGUGCUAGCUGACAAUGCUUUGACUGUUUUUACCAGGAGUCAGCACAGUGUUCCUUAAAAGGCCAGAGAGAAAGUAUUUUAGGCUUUGCAGGCCACAUAUGAUAUUUGCUACAGUUAUUCAACUCUGCUAUUGUAGUGCAAAACCAGCAUUAGACAAUACACAAAUGAACAGGCAAACUCUGAUAAAGCUUUAUUUAUAAAAACUGGUGAGUGAUUCAUGGGUCAUAGUGUGUAAUCCCUGGUUUACACAGAGGGAAAACACAAUCCUGGAAGGUCUUUGCUCUGACAGGCUUGCAGAGAUGGAAGGACAUUACUCAUAGAGGGAAGGCCAUUCCUGAACUGCCCAUCCCUGGGCCCCAGUGAUUGCCUUAACCUUGUACCAGGAGGCCAAAAUAUUUGACAUCUGUUACAAACACAACUACAUAGGAAAAACAGAUAAGGGAGCUCAAGGUUUGCUGAGAAUCUGAGUACCUGUCACAGCUAUUAUUGAGAAGACAUCCAUACCUGCUGGAAGGUCCCUUUUAGCCCCAGGAAAGACUAUGUACCUUAAUUGGUUAUUGCUUUCAGGCAGAUUACGUACUUUCUUUCCCACCUCUAAUUUUUGUUGUAUAGAAAAUUGCUUCAAAACUUAAUGGCUAACUCACAUGGCUGGCAUGAGGCUCCUUGAGUGUCCUCACAACAUGGCAACUGGCUUACCCCACAGCCGCCUAUCCAGGAGACCGGGGUGGGGGGGAGAAGCUAUAGUGCCUCUAUGACCUAGCUCUGGAAGUCACACGUGGUCAUAUAUACUGUAUUCUAUUGUUCAUGUAGGUCAGCCCUGAUUCAAUGUGGGAGGGACAAUACCAGGAGGCAAGAAUCAUUGGGGGCCAUCUUGAAGGCUGGGUGGAGUGAGUGGGUCUUGAGGUUAGCACCACACUAGAGUGAUCACUACAACGAAAGCUUACCCACUUAAGUUUGGUGAGGAGGAGCAAAUAGACGGGACACUAUCACCUGUUCAAAUCUAUAUAAGUGACCUUAGGCCCUCAGUCUUGAGGCACCAAGGCUCAGGUACCAAUGGUUAUGAGUUUUAGCUACAUUUGACCACAAAUUUUCAGUGGGGUUCCAAAACCACCAUCCUUGAUGUUCUGUCAUUUCUAGAAGUCUGUAGUAAAUCCUUAUCGUUCUUUUUUGGCUUCCCAGCGUCCAAAUACUUUCCCAGAGGAAUUUCCCAUGUGUGAGUCUUAGUAGGGGCAGGUUCAUGCCUGGUUCUUCAGUCUUUCUGUCAGUAUUUGAUUUACCCUCUAAUUCUCCAAUAAACCCAUUUGCUGUUUAAAUGAGCUAUACUUAGAGGAAGUUCACCUGGUGCCAAAGCCACUACAUCUCUGCCACUUUAAUGCAACAAGUUAAUUUCCAACAAAUUACUUAACAUCUCUGAACUUGAGUUACUUCCCCCGUAAAUUGCAGAAAGUAACCGUUAGCUCGCGAGAUUGCUAUGAGGAUCAGCACCUAGCACUGUGCCUGACACAUCACUGGUGCUCAAUGACUGCUCUUACAUAACAAAUGACAAUGGUGAUGAUGAUGACGAUGGUGGACAUGGGCUAUGGCUCCUCCUUACAUGAACACCUUUCAGGGGUUCACAAAGAGGCAUAGUUGCUCCCAUCUGAUGACAGGUCUUUCAAACUACCUUGAAUGGCCUGGUCUCUCAAUAAUAACUGCCCUUUAGAACUCUCAAAGCUGGCCCCACUUGUGAAGUUGAACAGACCCUUCUAACAAGGAACUUGCUAAAGUCCCCCGGAGACUGAUCCAGACCAUGAUCAAGAGACAACCCUCCUCCAUCCCCGCUCCCAUCUGCAAUGCUUUGCAAACGGGACUCUUUGUGGCCUGUGCUGAGGUCCUAGAGCAUCCAAGAUGGGCAUGUUACUUCAUGUCCCAUGGUGGUCCUUGCAGUCUGGUACCAGGUCAACCAGAACUUUGGCCCAGGCCCCCUGCCUGAUGUAACCCCGUGGCUGCUAGAGACAUAUCCUGGAUGGAAAGCCACACUCCGAGAUACUCUAUUUGAGCAGCGGCCCUUUCCUCUUCCAUCCCUUCUUUGAGCUGAGGGGAGCUGUAACACGGUGUGUCGCCUUUCCUAAGGAUUAUCCUGAGCCUAGGGUGUUCAUGAGAAGUGAUUUGCAAGUCUCAUCCCAGGCUUCUCUGAUUCUAAUCUUAUACCCAGUCUGAGCAAGAGUCCGAUCCCUCUCUUCUGCCCCGCACCCCAAAUCCUGGCAACUGGGUGAUGCCACCUAUACUGGUUAUGUGGGCACUGAAGAUAAAUGGGCAACUGCAAGGUCAGGGAAUCAGCCUGAUGUGGCAAGAAACCUCAGUUGUAGCUGACCAGCCCCCCAUUAUCUUUCUCCAACUAGAGUAUAAGCUGCUGGGAACGGGGAGCCUUCUUACGUUCUUCCUGUCCCCUGGCAUUGUGCCUGGAGAUGAAUCAGGGCUUAGAAAUGUUUCAGCGGCUACUCCGUUGAGGGAGUAGAGCACAGACUGCGGGCCCUGCACAUAUCACCCCCUCCCCACCCCCAGAGCCCCAAAGAGUAAAUACUGUGGUCAGUGGAGCAAUGGGAGGCCAAGGCAUCUCUCAGGGCAAGUCAGCUGACAGAUGGGAACACCAGCCCUCGAUGGCCUGUGUGUUUUUCCAGGUUGCAGAGACAGGAUGGGUCCUGUGCCUGACCAGCAGGACACGACCAUCCCUGAAACAGAGCUGAGCCCCAGCAAGUCUGCUGCUGCGGGGAAAGCUGGUGCUAUCCCAGCUGAGAUUUCAGGCCUGCGGUAGUGGGGUCUCAGGUUACACCCCGCUCUCCAGCUCCCCAGCCUUUGACGGGAGCUGCCUCAGGACAGGGCCAUCACCACCACCCCAUCAGUGCAAGAAAUAUUUGCCAGAGAGCGUCACCGUCCAGGAGGAGAAUGACAACUGAAGAUCUACAUUUCAUUUGUUCCAGGACUAUUUUAGCUUAGAUAGAUUCCUUAAUCCUCCCUCCUUCCCAGUGGGCUCAAAGACCUGGAGACUUUCCACACACUCAGUGUCCCUUUUAAGAUUAGAAAUGGACCUAACGAUAACGCCUCCUUGCAAUAUCCUUCCAAGUGCGUGCCCCAGUAUGCACUGCCUGGUGUAUUUGCAUGUCAGCAUCGUGAGGCUAAACAAGGAGAUGCUUCGGCCUGGAUCGAUAGUGGGCACGACUACCACAGCUAACAUACGAAAUAUUUUAUAAAUAAUCAUGGUAAGUAAGCCUCAGGAUAACCAUAGGAGGUAGGAAUGCCACUGUCCCCAUUUUCAGAGGAGUAAACUGAAGCUCAGGGGCGUUAAGAAACUUCUGAAGUGGCGAGACCAGGAUUCAGAUUCAAGAGUGCCUAGCUCUAAAGCACAAGUUCUUCACACUCACAGUCUAGUGCCCACACGCCUAUGAUACAUCAGUCGCCAUGCUCCACACAGGAAACACGGGGACAAUGAAGAUACCAACUUGAUUCCCACGUGUUCAGCCUCGCCAAGGAAACCAAUAUUAACAUAUUUUUUUAAUUACUUAUUACAAUGUGACAUUUGUAAGCAUUAAAAAAUAGGUACAGGUGUGGUUCAAAGGAUGGUAAUUAAUUCCAUCUAUAAGGGAAGAAGACGGAUUAGGGAAAGCUUCGCAAAAGGACACUCGAAAAGCCGAAACUUUCUUUGCCUAUGGUUCCGUUUCUUUCCUACUUUGAAUGUGUGAUCUUUAGCCAUCAUUCACCCACCCUGGCAUCUGUUAACUGAAUCAUCCAAUCAUCUGGGCAAGACCCAGGCAAAAGGGGCCGCGUCUCUGAGCCCUUGCUUCACCGGGUCUCCUACAUCACCAACACCGGAUAAGUUAAUGUAUGAAAGGACACAAGAGUGCCUCUGUCAUUCAGGAUCCUGAACUUGGCACUGGCACAGCACAACCGAUAACCCUAACCAUCCACUCUCAUGAGUAACACCAUUCAGGCCCCAGGGAAACUUCUCCACCUCUCUUGGUCUGUGCAUCAAAAGGAAAUUGUGCCCAAAAGCCAUGACCUGUGGGUUGUGCUGCUGAAGCUUUGGAAAUGGACCCUUCCCUUCAGAGGGUGGGCAAGCUUUGAGCAGUGGACACACAUACGGGUAAAGACAAAUUAAUUAACUUAUUGUAUUCUCCCUCUCUGAUUCGAACACAACAGAUUCAUGCCCAGUGAAGUAUCUUUUCCUAGUAGUGCGAGUGUCCAUUUCUUCUGUGUUCUAAUGUGCUUUCUAAAGGCACUCAAAAAUUAAUGCAGUGUUCACAACAGUCAUGCAUGAUGGCUAGAGAAUAUUUUCUAGUGGAGACCAAAUCACGAUACUUUUAGUUUGUUUAUUUGCCGGCCUAUCUGUAACACACAGGAAGCAUGAUACUAAUUCUUUGUGGUGACCCCAGGCAGACACUGAAAGCGAGAAUUGUAAACAGUUUUAUUUUUAUAAGAGUGUUUUUAAAGAUUUAAUUAUAUUUUCAAAAGAUUAAAUAACAACUUUUAUCUAAAUGUUGAUUUUUUAAAGCUGAUACGAAUUUAUUAUCAUUGAUACUUUCUCUUUUAAUUUCAGUAGAUUGCUCUGCUUAUUUAUUUGCAUAAAUAUUUAGUCACUUGCAAACAUUAGAUGGGUUCACUCCCCACUCCAGCCACACUCCCUUAUCUCCCAUGGGACCCUUCCUGGACCAGCAAACAGGGGCUUGGCCAGUGUGAUCUCCUCAUCAGCCCUGGUUCAGCAGGAAGAAUAUAAAAGCCUCUCUGGCUAAGGCAGGAAGGGCCUCAGUUGCAAGCCAGUUUAGUUGCUGCUAUAUAUACUUCUCAGUUUCUUGUCUGGCUUUGACCUUGGUCUUCUGACUGUCUCCUGGUACCUAAUUAUUCACCUGGCUUCCUGGUCUACCUCAACAGAUAGCUUCAGGCACUGUCCUCCUGAGCCUGGUCCUCAUCAGUCUGCUUUGGUAGUCACAAUCCCAGCUUCCUCCCCAACAAGUACCCCCCCAACAUCCAUUGGCAUGGCCUGAUGCAGUUCCCUAAUACAAAUUCAUGCUUUAUUUUUUUUUAAUGUGUAUUUGUUUUUGAGAGAGAGAGACAGAGUACGAGCGGGGGAGGGGCAAAGAGGGAGGGGGA
Molecule: long non-coding RNA, 6341 nt
Organism: Acinonyx jubatus (cheetah)
Lineage: Eukaryota; Metazoa; Chordata; Mammalia; Carnivora; Felidae
Exons: 5
Source: RefSeq, a predicted model, not a curated record